UUUCCGCGGGCCGCCGCCGGUUGCCAGGCGACGCGGCCGGCGGCGGCCCGGCCCGGCCCCGGGGCGGGAAACCUGAGGCGGCCGGUGGCAGCGGCGCCGCCUGUGAGGAGAGCCCUGAGGGGCUGCGGUUGUGUCCGGGGGGUUGUUCGCGCCCGGGAGCCGGCACGGGAAAAAACCCCUUUGGGCUGGGGAGAGUAAAAGUGUGCGGUGAAGGCGGUCCUGUCACACCGCAGAAACACGGUCGCUGCCGCGAUGGUUAAUCGCCGUCCGGAGUCGUUACCGUCACCUCGCACUGAGGGAGCGCCAAGGGAGAAGUGGGAGACGGCGGGAGAUCGUGGGGUCGGCUGGUGCCCUGGUGAGGCGGGGGUGGGCCCGGUGCUUCAGCUCCGCCGGAGGGCCCGGGCCGGGAGAGGGGAGCAGGAGCAGCGGGAGGCAGCUCCGCGUUCCUCGGGGUGCGCCUCGUUGUUUUAGUUGCUGCUGGCUGGGUAUCGGCUGUGCCUCUGUCCUCGUUAUCAUGAAUGUUUGGGGAAAUAAAUGCUUCCACACAGCUCAGUGAAAAAUAUUUGCCGCUCUGCAACUAAAGCCAUGUCAAGAAAACCAUCAAUUAAUCCAGAAGGAUCAGAGAAAUCUCCCAGUCCUUUCAGCUCUUCAGCCUCUUCCUGAGUCAAUUAAAUAAUUCUGUAUGCAUAAUCCCAAAUAAAAUGUGUGACCUCUUUGAUUCAGUUAAUUAGUUCUCUUUCCCCAAAAUCUGUCACUGACCUUACUGUGUGUAUAGCACCUAAAGUGCUUUUAUCUCAAGUGAGUAAACUCUUCAACUCUUCUAAGCUUGAUUCACAUACACAUAUGCAUCAAACAAGAAUUUCUUAAAUGUUCAGUAGAAAAUUGGCUGUUUUCUUUGAUUUCUCAGCUGAUCUUCAGCAGAAAUGAUUCUGUGUUAGGGCUUGUUUAGUGGUAGAUAUGACAGCUACCUGGUUGCAUGCUCGGAUUGCACAUAGCUCCUUAAAUCAAUAUUUGCAUAGAGUGGUGCAAAAAAUGAGUGAUGGAGUAUUUAAUCCAUGGUAGAAUCUCAUUAUUAGAUUAUGAAGAUUAUUUAUUAUCUUUAAAUUCAAAAUGUAAAAUAAUUUUCAUUUAAUAUAUUUUUGAAGAUAUGACUACUUUGUUUUCAAAUAGUGGAAGAUUCUUGCAACACAGUAAGGCUGCUGGGCAGCUUACUUGCUCAAAGAACUGUACUUGCCACUUUUCACCUCUGAAUCACCACUUCAGAAACCCAGAUUUGUCAUGGGAAUUUUCUAAUUAUUAUGAAAUCAAUUUGUCCAACCCAGUCCAAAUCACAAGAGACAGACAACAGUUUUGUCAGUCAGUAGAAUAUGGGAGGCUGAACGCACUUGACAACGUGACUCUUUCCAGGCAGGUUUUCAAGGGCAGCACGCGAGCGUGUUGGCCAGGUGAUACGGUGAGGUUUGCAUUUCUUCUAGCUUUGCAAACCUGCUUUCUGACAGUUGAAAAGGAAUGGAAUUUCUAAGCCAACUCUUUUGUAUGUUGUUCUUCAUCGAUUCGUAUCUGCACAUUGCCUUCAGAUUUUAAUAUGUCUCUGUCAUUUUGAAAAACUGGAUUUGCUGGUAUAUGGUGAAAAAGAAUACGAGGCAGAGCAGAACCAAUGGAUUGGAACCGGUACUCCAGGACAGUUUUCCUGAGAGAACAGAUCCAGUUUCUGGGUCUGCUUACCGUCGCAGAGCAGGGUGGCCGGAGAGGUUGAAGCCUACCUGCAUUGAUUUGACAAUCACACAACUUCUGUCCAAAAAGAAAGAAAAACUACAGAUUCAAGAAAUGACCGAGGUCUCGCCUCCAGCCAAAGCUUCAGCCUGGACACAAUGAGUGCUGAUGUGCACUGACCCUCCGGAGGAAAUCACUAAAGAUACACACCUGUAGAACACGUAGAUACCCCAGCCAGAAUACAGAACAAAUUCCUAGUUUGAAUUGUAAAAAUAUCUUAAUUUAAGUAAAAGACAUUCAGUCCUUUU
Non-coding RNA from Phalacrocorax carbo (great cormorant), 2021 nucleotides. Lineage: Eukaryota; Metazoa; Chordata; Aves; Suliformes; Phalacrocoracidae. The record is from RefSeq and is a predicted model, not a curated record.